GUAUGGUGCAAGCGUUAUCCGGAUUUACUGGGUGUAAAGGGAGCGUAGACGGCUGUGUAAGUCUGAAGUGAAAGCCCGGGGCUCAACCCCGGGACUGCUUUGGAAACUAUGCAGCUAGAGCGUCGGAGAGGUAAGUGGAAUUCCCAGUGUAGCGGUGAAAUGCGUAGAUAUUGGGAGGAACACCAGUGGCGAAGGCGGCUUACUGGACGAUGACUGACGUUGAGGCUCGAAAGCGUGGGGAGCAAACAGGAUUAGAUACCCUGGUAGUCCACGCCAUAAACGAUGACUACUAGGUGUCGGGGAGCAAGGCUCUUCGGUGCCGCAGCAAACGCAAUAAGUAGUCCACCUGGGGAGU
Molecule: ribosomal RNA, 355 nt
Filed under: uncultured bacterium
Lineage: Bacteria
Description: bacterial SSU rRNA
Rfam family: Bacterial small subunit ribosomal RNA
Source: RNAcentral